This 776-nucleotide ribosomal RNA is filed under the name uncultured Neocallimastigales. Its description in RNAcentral is "partial large subunit ribosomal RNA". It matches the Rfam family "Eukaryotic large subunit ribosomal RNA", at positions 20 to 635 of the family's 3401-position model. Lineage: Eukaryota; Fungi; Neocallimastigomycota; Neocallimastigomycetes; Neocallimastigales. The record is from RNAcentral.
UACUAGAGUAGCACUCGCAUAUCAAUAAGCGGAGGAAAAGAAACUAACAAGGAUUCCCUUAGUAACGGCGAGUGAAGCGGGAAGAGCUCAAAUUUGAAAUCUUCAAGGUUUUACCUUGACGAAUUGUAGUUUAAAGAAGUGUUUUCUGUUGGAGUUUUGGUAAAAGUUCUUUGGAAUAGGACAUCAUAGAGGGUGAGAAUCCCGUAUUUGACCAUUAUUUCCAGCUGUGUGAUACACUUUCAAAGAGUCGGAUUGUUUGGGAAUGCAGUCCAAAAUGGGUGGUAAAUUUCAUCUAAAGCUAAAUAUUGGCGAGAGACCGAUAGCGAACAAGUACCGUGAGGGAAAGAUGAAAAGAACUUUGAAAAGAGAGUUAAACAGUACGUGAAAUUGUCAAAAGGGAAGCGUUUGACACCAGUGUUGUUUUCUCGAAAAUCAAUUAAAAAUGGUGGGAUUUUGUGUUGUAUUGACUUUAUCAGCUUUCUGCACUUUCUUCCUAUCUUUUUUCAAUGCACUUUUCGUUUAACAAGUCAACAUCAAUUUCUUUUGUUGUAAAAGGGGUUAUUGGAAGGUGGCUUUACUUUCGGAGAAAGUGUUUAUAGCCUUGUAACUCUGCAAUCGGAGAGAUUGAGGUCUGCAGCGUAGAUCCUUCGGGGUUAGAUACAUUUGUGCUAAGUUAUAGCUUUUCAUAGACAACUUGUUGACUAUGUUAAGUCUUGUAGCUUACUCGCUUAUGCUAUUUUACCUACGCUUAGGAUGUUGAAGAUGUAGCACAUCAU